CCUGACCUCGAUUCGAGCGUGAAUA
RNAcentral lists this ribosomal RNA (25 nucleotides) under Gyrodactylus pseudonemachili. Its description in RNAcentral is "Gyrodactylus pseudonemacheili partial 28S ribosomal RNA". The record is from RNAcentral. Lineage: Eukaryota; Metazoa; Platyhelminthes; Monogenea; Gyrodactylidea; Gyrodactylidae.